Molecule: ribosomal RNA, 409 nt
Filed under: uncultured Streptomyces sp.
Lineage: Bacteria; Bacillati; Actinomycetota; Actinomycetes; Kitasatosporales; Streptomycetaceae
Description: bacterial SSU rRNA
Rfam family: Bacterial small subunit ribosomal RNA
Source: RNAcentral
CAAGGCUUGACAUACACCGGAAAACCCCAGAGAUAGGGCCCCCCUUGUGGUCGGUGUACAGGUGGUGCAUGGCUGUCGUCAGCUCGUGUCGUGAGAUGUUGGGUUAAGUCCCGCAACGAGCGCAACCCUUGUCCCGUGUUGCCAGCAGGCCCUUGUGGUGCUGGGGACUCACGGGAGACCGCCGGGGUCAACUCGGAGGAAGGUGGGGACGACGUCAAGUCAUCAUGCCCCUUAUGUCUUGGGCUGCACACGUGCUACAAUGGCCGGUACAAUGAGCUGCGAUACCGCGAGGUGGAGCGAAUCCCAAAAAGCCGGUCUCAGUUCGGAUUGGGGUCUGCAACUCGACCCCAUGAAGUCGGAGUCGCUAGUAAUCGCAGAUCAGCAUGCUGCGGGAAUACGUCCCGACGGA